CUUCCUCCUCUUCCUCCUGUUUUCUCCUGAAACUCCCCACCCCCAGCCCAGGCUGCGGUCUCUGGUCCUUUGUAGUCUCCAGCUGAGGAAGGGGAAGAUGAGGAAGUGACUGGUCACCCCUGAAGCUCUCACACUGAGCACCGAGAGCUCCAGGAAAGCAGGGCCCUUACCCUCCUGUGAUCUGACCCCAAGCCGAUGUGGUUUGCAUCUGGGAAACUCAAUCCCCAGUCAGCCUCUUGGGAGUGGACAUGGGACCUGUUGUGUUGACGCUGCUAAUGUCCUUCCCUAGGGAGGCAAUGGACUGUCUGCCUUUCUAUGACAGAAUCCUAUUCCAGCGUGUGAGCAAACCACAUUUAACCACUCAUCCUAUGACAGCCAUUGUGAGAUUGUGCAUGGUACUUCUAAGAACAUGCGUACACAUGCCUCCCUAGGAACAUGCUUUCAGUCCUCUGGAGCAGGUAUGUCAGAGUGGGAUUUAUGGGUGAAUCGGUAGCUCUGUGCUUAACUUUCUGAGAAUUUCCAGCGUUUCCCAAAGCAGAGGGGCUGUUCAACGUUUCCACUCCCAGAGGGUUCCAAUGUUUUCACCGCAGUUGUUACUGUCUAUCUUUCUGGUGGCCGCUGUCAUAGCAGGCGUGUCAUGGCUGCUCAUUUGCGGUGGGUUUUGUUUUUUGCAGCACUGAAUCCAGGGUCUUGCACAUGCCAGGCAAGCACUCAAACAAUGAACUACUCUAAGUUCAAAGCCAGCCUGGUCUACAUAAUUUUCAGGACAAUCUGACACACAUAGACUUCCAGGCCAGCCUGGGCUUCAAAGUAAGACUGUAUCAGAAAGUCAAU
Molecule: non-coding RNA, 834 nt
Organism: Cricetulus griseus (Chinese hamster)
Lineage: Eukaryota; Metazoa; Chordata; Mammalia; Rodentia; Cricetidae
Source: RefSeq, a predicted model, not a curated record